This 166-nucleotide unclassified non-coding RNA is filed under the name uncultured fungus. RNAcentral's name for it is "sequence contains ITS1, 5.8S rRNA gene". The record is from RNAcentral. Lineage: Eukaryota; Fungi.
AUGAAAUAUAGAAAGGAGCUGUCGCUGGCCCUCGGGCAUGUGCACGCUCCCUUCGUUCCAAUUUCAACCCCUGUGCAUCUUUUGUAGGGAGGUGCUCACGCGCCGACCUAUGUCAUUACAAACCCUGAUAGUAUACAGAAUGUCUUAUGCAUAACGCAUUUUAAUA